Molecule: ribosomal RNA, 497 nt
Filed under: uncultured bacterium
Lineage: Bacteria
Description: partial 16S ribosomal RNA
Rfam family: Bacterial small subunit ribosomal RNA
Source: RNAcentral
GACGAACGCUGGCGGCGUGCCUAAUACAUGCAAGUUGAGCGCUGAAGGUUGGUACUUGUACCAACUGGAUGAGCAGCGAACGGGUGAGUAACGCGUGGGGAAUCUGCCUUUGAGCGGGGGACAACAUUUGGAAACGAAUGCUAAUACCGCAUAAAAACUUUAAACACAAGUUUUAAGUUUGAAAGAUGCAAUUGCAUCACUCAAAGAUGAUCCCGCGUUGUAUUAGCUAGUUGGUGAGGUAAAGGCUCACCAAGGCGAUGAUACAUAGCCGACCUGAGAGGGUGAUCGGCCACAUUGGGACUGAGACACGGCCCAAACUCCUACGGGAGGCAGCAGUAGGGAAUCAUCGGCAACGGACGAAAGUCUGACCGAGCAACGCCGCGUGAGUGAAGAAGGUUUUCGGAUCGUAAAACUCUGUUGGUAGAGAAGAACGUUGGUGAGAGUGGAAAGCUCAUCAAGUGACGGUAACUACCCAGAAAGGGACGGCUAACUACGUG